This 462-nucleotide ribosomal RNA is filed under the name uncultured bacterium. Its description in RNAcentral is "partial 16S ribosomal RNA". It matches the Rfam family "Bacterial small subunit ribosomal RNA", at positions 28 to 507 of the family's 1533-position model. The record is from RNAcentral.
GACGAACGCUGGCGGCGUGCUUAACACAUGCAAGUCGAACGGAAAGGCCCUUCUUUUUUCUCGUGUUCCUAACGGGUUAGUAACACUUUCGUGUUCUUCCCUUCACUUUUUCUUUAGCCUGUCUUACUGGGUCUAAUACCGAUUAUGAUCAUCUGCUUCUUCUUCUUUGUUGGAUAUCUUUUGCGGUGUGGGAUGGGCCCGCGGCCUAUCAGCUUGUUGGUGUGGUAUUGGUAUACCAAGGCGAAGACGGGUAGCCGGCCUGAGAGGGUGACCGGCCACAAUGGGACUGAGAUACGGCCCAGACUCCUACGGGAGGCAGCAGUGGGGAAUAUUGCACAAUGGGCGGAAGCAUGAUGCAGAGACGCCGCGUGAGGGAUGACGGCCUUCGGGUUGUAAACCUAUUUCAGCAGAGACGAAGCGAAAGUGACGGUAAGUGGAGAAGAAGGACCGGCCAACUACGUG